GACAGAGGCCUCGAGCGUUAGGCGGAAUCACUGGGCUUAAAGCGUGUGUAGGCGGGCCCGUAAGUACCUUGUGAAAUCCCACGGCUCAACCGUGGAACGGCUGGGUAUACUGCGGGUCUUGGGCCAACUAGGGGCAGCCGGAACAAGCGGUGGAGCGGUGAAAUGCGUAGAUAUCGCUUGGAACGCCGAAGGUGAAAACAGGCUGCUGGGGUUGCGCCGACGCUGAGACACGAAAGCCAGGGGAGCAAACAGG
RNAcentral lists this ribosomal RNA (253 nucleotides) under uncultured bacterium. RNAcentral's name for it is "partial 16S ribosomal RNA". It matches the Rfam family "Bacterial small subunit ribosomal RNA", at positions 524 to 776 of the family's 1533-position model. The record is from RNAcentral.